RNAcentral lists this ribosomal RNA (366 nucleotides) under uncultured bacterium. RNAcentral's name for it is "bacterial SSU rRNA". It matches the Rfam family "Bacterial small subunit ribosomal RNA", at positions 527 to 896 of the family's 1533-position model. The record is from RNAcentral.
GUAGGUGGCGAGCGUUAUCCGGAAUGAUUGGGCGUAAAGGGUGCGCAGGCGGCGUGACAAGUCUGAAGUGAAAGGUACGGGCUCAACCUGUACAGGCUUUGGAAACUGUCACGCUAGAGGACAGGAGAGGGCGGUGGAACUCCAUGUGUAGCGGUAAAAUGCGUAGAUAUAUGGAAGAACACCAGUGGCGAAGGCGGCCGCCUGGACUGUAACUGACGCUCAGGCACGAAAGCGUGGGGAGCAAAUAGGAUUAGAUACCCUAGUAGUCCACGCCCUAAACGAUGAGGAGCAGGUGCCGGGGGUAAUACCCCGGUGCCGAAGCUAACGCAGUGACUCCUCCGCCUGGGGAGUAUGCACGCAAGUGCG